CCCUUAGAUGUUCUGGGCCACACGCGCGCUACACUGAUGCAUUCAACGAGUCUAAAACCUGCUCUGAUAGGGGUGGGUAAUCUUUUGAAUGUGCAUCGUGAUUGGGAUAGAUGAUUGCAAUUUUUCAUCUUCAACGAGGAAUGCCUAGUAAACGCAAGUCAUCAGCUUGCAUUGAUUACGUCCCUGCCCUUUGUACACACCGCCCGUCGCUCCUACCGAUUGAAUGAUCCGAUGAAUAUCAUGGAUUGAGGAUGCAAGCAGGUUCGCCUGUCUUCAUCUUCGAGAAGUGAAGUAAAUCUUAUCAUUUAGAGGAAGGAGAAGUCGUAACA
This 329-nucleotide ribosomal RNA is filed under the name uncultured eukaryote. Its description in RNAcentral is "partial 18S ribosomal RNA". It matches the Rfam family "Eukaryotic small subunit ribosomal RNA", at positions 1470 to 1796 of the family's 1831-position model. The record is from RNAcentral.